GAAUGUACACUUUUCUGUUUUAACGUUUGGAGUGCUUUCGAUCAGUUUGCUACGACUGUUUCUUCACGAAUAUCGCUCCUUUGGCCGUCCUUAGCAUUCUCCAGUUCAGGAGUGCGGCGCACUUCACACAAGCUAAAAAGACACAGGGGCAAGGGGAAUCACCGCACGCUCCACCCAGUUCUUCUAAGAAACAUAGUCGGACCACCAUAUCCCCAGAGAUUCUAUAAACUUAAGACGCCGUUACCGUGCCGAAACAAAAUCCGACGCCAAUGCUCGCUGUAUCUCACUUUAUGGUAUUCGGUUUUGUGUCCGUCGUUUGUUAUUGCCGCGUGGCCAAUAACGAUCGCACCGUCAGAGCCCGAGCGGGCCCGAGCAUCGUACUGUUCGUUAUCAUUUUAUCUGCUAUUAUGUACAUUGUAUUACGAGCCGUGUCUGAAUUAUUUUGAUGCGGAAGAGGUGGAGUGAACGGAUGCUUCCCCUUGCCCCUCAACACUUUUACUUCGUCGAUAGUUAGUCAAUAGGUGAGAGGUCUACAUACAUAACUUACGUGACACCUGAUGUAAGUUGUUAGCGAAGCGUUGGACGUGUGACUAUAAUUAUGGCAGUUUUACAGACGCAGAUGUAUUCUACAGAGAUUAAAAGAAUUCACUAGAACAGCAGAAGGGCAAGAGGUGUCUUUCGGGAGCUCUGCCUAUUCCCACAUCUGCAGUUCCGAGAAGUCGGCCAUUUAGGUUCUGACGUCAUUCACUGCGAAGUACAGCACAGCUCCACGUUCCAAGCCGCGAUCAAAAAGCUAAAAGUGUACAGGGGCAAGAGGCGACUUGCGAUCUGCUCACAGGGCUCGGCCCGUUACAGUUCGCCUCCACCGAGUUGAGUCACGAAAGUAUGGUUAAUCUACCAGGGGAGCAAGGGGAACGACUAGUUGCCACGCUCGACUGGGUUGUCAUAACGGCUCUACUCCGGCACGUCCUUGUUGGCCGAUUCGACCGAUUCCCCUUGCCGCCCUGCCCGCUUAACCGUCGCGAUCGUGGCUCAGCACGAAAGAGGCAAACUAUAGUUAUGGCAACAGUGACGCCGCACUUUCGGCACGCUUUUGAAAUUGGGCAAGGCGUGCAACAGAGAAUGUGUUGAACAAAGAAGGACCUAGAUGGUGCAUGUCGUCGAUUCUCCUUGCGCUCGUGCACUUUUAGCUUUUAGAUCAUAGCUUGAGAACUACACUGUAAUCGGGUGUCAGGAUUUAUGAGGGA
This is a non-coding RNA of Nomia melanderi (Alkali bee), 1247 nucleotides long. The record is from RefSeq and is a predicted model, not a curated record. Lineage: Eukaryota; Metazoa; Arthropoda; Insecta; Hymenoptera; Halictidae.